UUGAAUCUUUGACACAGAGUUCAUGCUUCAGAGUUCAGAUGUUCAGAGUUCAUGGACCGUUGAGGCUGCGAACUUUAAGGCUGCAGACCCUGAAUUGGGAUACAGCCAUCGACUGUGGAAACCUUGCAAGUGGAUCGUAAAGAUGCAAAUAUCAAAUUGGAGUUCUGCCUCCAGGCCAGAAUUGCAGGAAUGCACCACGUGUUGGCUGUUUCACUGCCCUCUGUGCCCCACUCUCAGCCCUGCUGUCAGGGCAAAGAUUGAGCAGCAUAUAAAUGGACACAUUCAAAGUGCUUUGCCUUUCAAAGACAAAAUGAUGUGCCGGUGCACUUUCACUGCCCUUCUGUAACAUGACAGUCAUACAGCGUGGGGAUAUGGCAAGGCAAUUAUUGUCAUGUCAGCAUUCAGGACUGCUCCCCACUGAACUCUCCGUGGAGCCUCGUCUCCCUCUCCAUGUCUCGUCUCCAGCAUCUAAACCAUUUCCUGAAUCUUGGGUAGAACAUUCAUGUGCUCCACCCUCUGUGCUAAAUGAAACUGGGGCUUGUGGAAAGUCCAUGAAAAUGAAACGUCCUCACUGUGGUCUUAGUCUUC
Molecule: non-coding RNA, 588 nt
Organism: Maylandia zebra (zebra mbuna)
Lineage: Eukaryota; Metazoa; Chordata; Actinopteri; Cichliformes; Cichlidae
Source: RefSeq, a predicted model, not a curated record